GGAGCCAUAGGAAGGACUCAGGGGGAUGCAGGAGACCUAGAAAUGGACUCAGUGGCCAUUGAGGAUGUGGCUGUGAACUUCACCCCAGAGGAGUGGGCUUUACUGGAUCCUUCACAGAAGAAACUCUACAGAGAUGUGAUGUGGGAAACCUUCACGAACCUGGCCUCAAUAGG
Ceratotherium simum simum (southern white rhinoceros) is the source of this 173-nucleotide non-coding RNA. NCBI's taxonomy places the organism in Eukaryota, Metazoa, Chordata, Mammalia, Perissodactyla, Rhinocerotidae. The record is from RefSeq and is a predicted model, not a curated record.